ACUUCAAAGGAUUUGACAAGGAUGAGGAAGUUGCAAAAAUCAACAAGGCUGUGGUUGAGAUGGCAGACAGCUUUAACCUGGGCAUGGAUGAAGAUGACAUUAAGGAGCUCCUAGAAGUGGUUCCAGAGGAAUUGACUAAUGAGGAGUUGGAAUUUGAACAGG
Non-coding RNA from Ceratotherium simum simum (southern white rhinoceros), 162 nucleotides. NCBI's taxonomy places the organism in Eukaryota, Metazoa, Chordata, Mammalia, Perissodactyla, Rhinocerotidae. The record is from RefSeq and is a predicted model, not a curated record.